UACGAAGGGGGCUAGCGUUGCUCGGAAUCACUGGGCGUAAAGCGCACGUAGGCGGGCUCUUAAGUCAGGGGUGAAAUCCUGGAGCUCAACUCCAGAACUGCCUUUGAUACUGAGGAUCUUGAGUUCGGGAGAGGUGAGUGGAACUGCGAGUGUAGAGGUGAAAUUCGUAGAUAUUCGCAAGAACACCAGUGGCGAAGGCGGCUCACUGGCCCGAUACUGACGCUGAGGCACGAAAGCGUGGGGAGCAAACAGG
This 253-nucleotide ribosomal RNA is filed under the name uncultured bacterium. Its description in RNAcentral is "partial 16S ribosomal RNA". It matches the Rfam family "Bacterial small subunit ribosomal RNA", at positions 524 to 776 of the family's 1533-position model. The record is from RNAcentral.